UGCUUGUUGCCAUGGAUACCAACAUCCCAAAAUUGCUGUACUAGAAAGUCUGAAAUUUGGUGAGCAGCAGAUCCUUUGCUGUAAUCUGGACACUCUCUGGAGGACGGGAGCUUUAAUGCAAGAAGAGCUUGUUUGGUGUU
Molecule: long non-coding RNA, 140 nt
Organism: Etheostoma cragini (Arkansas darter)
Lineage: Eukaryota; Metazoa; Chordata; Actinopteri; Perciformes; Percidae
Exons: 3
Source: RefSeq, a predicted model, not a curated record